AAGUGAUGUGAUUUUUGCAUCCCCAAACAUAUUAGUAGCUGCUAAAUAGAGAAGUAAUCAGAUCUGAUGAUGAUAAAAGGGCUGUUUUCUGCAUGCUACAAUAGUGUCAUGAUCCUGGCAUGCUAAAUAGUACAUCUGCAAAAAUCCUCCUAAUUAAGGCAAGAUUUGCCACAGAGGGAAGAAGCGAUACAUUAUUUGGUGUGUAUGUUUUUGUUCCUAUCGGAAAGGAUAGAGUGGACUCAGAAUUCCCACAGGUACAAAGGGAGAGAAAGGACUCUGUGAGGUUCUGCCCCAUUUGGGUCGGCAGUAUCUGGGCCUCUCAGGAAGAGGGGAGAAUUGUUUGGCUUCAGGAAUGCUGUUAGCGAAGUUUUGAGCACAUCCAGAGGAAAGCUGAGGAUACUUGAGUCCCACUGAAUUGAGCGGUGGGACUAACACUGCUCAGUACUUUCUCUUCAAGAGAUGAAGUUGCUGCAGAAUUGAGUUGAAACACAUUUGGAACUUAGUCUUGAACUUGCAAAUCGCGUUGACAUGGAGAUUAUUGGAGGUAUGAGCUCUUUUGUAUACAACGUCCUGAAAAUACUUUUGCCCUCUUAUGUGGUGUAAAAAGACUUUCUACAUUCUACUUACGCUGCUGGUGUACUGUAGCAACAGGGAACAGCAUACAACCCUACAGUAUUCACCAAGUAAUAGAGAGUCAUAUGCAGUGUUUCUGGGAUGGGGCGUCAAAAUUCUGGCAGCUGCGAGGGAAUACAAUACUUGAAAACCCCUGCAGGAGAAACUUGUCUACUUUCUUAAACAUAUUAGCUGAAUGAGUUUAUAAAACAGGGAUAGCAUCUUCUGUUACUCGUAAAACAGGAGCAAAGUCUUAAUGCAGUUGGAAAUGAUUUAGAGUGAGUUUUCCUUGCCAAAUUCCAAAUUACUGUAUUCUUGUCAGCAUAUUUGUCAUUGGUUCACAGAAACAUUGGUGGGCUAUCUUCUGCUAAGGUCUACUUCUACAGAGGGCUGUGCUCCUGGUGUGAGGUACUUGGUGCUCUCGGACUAGUUUGAGGAGAAGCAGAGGCUGUAUAGUUGUCUGUAUGGAGCAUAACUGAGAUGGAAACUGUUGGUGUCACGACUAUAAACCACACCAGCUGGGUUCUUGCCUUAGCCUGCACCAGAAUGAACAGGUUUGGAACUGACUAACCAAAUGUCUUUUCCUUUUUGGUAUUUACAGUUUGACAUUAAUAAUGUUACAACACUG
This 1240-nucleotide long non-coding RNA is filed under the name Gallus gallus (chicken). Its description in RNAcentral is "long non-coding RNA NONGGAT003776". Lineage: Eukaryota; Metazoa; Chordata; Aves; Galliformes; Phasianidae. The record is from RNAcentral.